Molecule: long non-coding RNA, 379 nt
Filed under: Gallus gallus (chicken)
Lineage: Eukaryota; Metazoa; Chordata; Aves; Galliformes; Phasianidae
Source: RNAcentral
CCGAAAUCCCUCCGGAGGGGCUCCCACGGCACAGCGUCACCUCCAGCAGCGCAGCGCUUUGGCGUGAGUCGGCUCCAGGAGGUGCAUCCCCAGCAGCAGCGCGCAGCCCAGCAGCAGCAGAGCCAUGAAGGCCAACAGCACCAGGCGGCCCACCAGGAAGGUGUCCACGAUCUGGGGGCCCACGGGCGGCCCCGCGCUGCCGUCCUCCCGCGGGUACAGCAGCAGCGCGGCGCUGAGCAGCGCGGCGCACAGCGGCACGGGCAGCGCGGCCAACCGCGCGGCCCCGGGGGCGCGUGCGAGCAGCAGGCAGAGCAGCAGCGCGAGCGCCCACAGCCCCGCCAGCAGCAGCGCGCCCGGCCCCGCGCCCAGCGCCGCUCCC